GGUUACUGUUAAUUCCCGAUGUACUGCAACUGAGGGAGAAUGUACUACUUGUGGCGAUGAUGAGGAUUCAAGUUUUAGUGGUGCCCUUUUCAGCAGUAAAGUUGAUUCGAUUGUAGAUGAGUACAACAAUCUUCUUGCUAGUCAGCUGGAAACUCAAAGACAGCAUUAUGAAUCUCUACUAGCUGAGGCGAAGAGUGGAAAAGAGAGCUCAAUAUCCAGAGCAGUGGAGAAGGCAGUUUUCUCAAAGUUGAAUGACUUGCAGGCUAAGAUAGAAAUGUAUACAGAGGAGACGAAGUCCAUUGCAGAGAGGAA
RNAcentral lists this unclassified non-coding RNA (312 nucleotides) under Hevea brasiliensis (rubber tree). Lineage: Eukaryota; Viridiplantae; Streptophyta; Magnoliopsida; Malpighiales; Euphorbiaceae. The record is from RNAcentral.